UACGUAGGUGGCAAGCGUUGUCCGGAUUUAUUGGGCGUAAAGCGAGCGCAGGCGGUCAAUUAGGUCUGAUGUGAAAGCCCCCGGCUCAACCGUGGAGGGUCAUUGGAAACUGGAAAACUUGAGUGCAGAAGAGGAAAGUGGAAUUCCAUGUGUAGCGGUGAAAUGCGCAGAGAUAUGGAGGAACACCAGUGGCGAAGGCGACUUUCUGGUCUGUAACUGACGCUGAUGUGCGAAAGCGUGGGGAUCAAACAGGAUUAGAAACCCUCGUAGUCC
Molecule: ribosomal RNA, 273 nt
Filed under: uncultured Staphylococcus sp.
Lineage: Bacteria; Bacillati; Bacillota; Bacilli; Caryophanales; Staphylococcaceae
Description: partial 16S ribosomal RNA
Rfam family: Bacterial small subunit ribosomal RNA
Source: RNAcentral